GCGCCAACAGUCCACUCCUUCCUAGUGCUGAGGCCCCCAUCACAUGAGCACAACUGUUUCUUGUGUGUGAUGUGUUGUCCUCUGGCUGUGCACUGCCAAAAAAGACAUCAUUAAAAAAAAUUUAAAUAUAAUGUAAGACCUGCCUUGUCUUAGGAAACGUUUUUCUGGCAGUGGCUCACACCUAUAAUCCCAAUACUCUGGGAGGCUGAGGCAGGAGGACUGCUUGAGCCCAGGAGUUUGGGACCAGCCUGGGCAAGAGGGUGAAACCCUGUCUCUAAAAAUUAGCCAGGCAUGGUGGCUCACACCUGUAGUCUCAGCUCUUAGGGAGGCUGAGGUGGGAGGACUGCUGGAGCCCAGGAGGUGGAGGCUGCAGUGAGCCGAGAUCACACCACUGCACUCCAGCCUGGGCAGCAUGGCAAGACUCUGUCUCGACCAAGAAAAAAACAAAAAAUUAACAGAAGGAAAAACAAAACGGCUUUCUUAUCAAAAAUACACUUUAAGAACAAAUUUAUAAUAUUAAGUUGCUGCAAAAGUAAUUGUGCCUUUUACCAUUGAAAGCAAUGGCAAAUACUGCAAUUACUUUUGCUCCAACCUAAUAUUAUUUUCUAAUGACAAACUUGGAAAUAACUGUCAUUGCUCUCUAAAAAGAACAGCCUAAAAAUAAAGCAGCAGCCCAUUUACUUCUAUGCCAGUUCUUUUAGCAUUUGGUUAUUUAAACCGGCAGUCCCUAACCUUUUUGGCACCAGGGACUGGUUUCACGGAAGACACUUUUUCCACUGACAAGUGUGGGGAUGGUUUGGAGAUGAAACGGUUCCAUCUCAGAUCAUCAGUAUUAGAUUCUCAUAAGCGGGGCAUAACCUAGAUCCUUCUCAUGCGCAGUUCACAACAGGAUUCCACUCCUAUGAGAAUCUAAUGCCACCACUGAUCUGACAGGAGGCGGAGCUCACACAGCAAUGAUAUGACAGGGGCGGAGCUCACAAUAAUGAUAUGACAGGGGGCGGAGCUCACACAGUAAUGAUAUGACAGGGGGCGGAGCUCACACAGUAAUGACAGGGGGCGGAGCUCACACAGUAAUGAUGACAGGGGCAGAGCUCACAGUAAUGCUCUGGCAGGGGGCGGAGCUCACACAGUAAUGCUCUGGCAGGGGGCGGAGCUCACACAGUAAUGCUGACGGGGGUGGAGCUCACACAGUAAUGCUGACAGGGGGUGGAGCUCACACAGUAAUACUCUGGCAGGGGGCGGAGCUCACACAGCAAUGCUCUGACAGGGGGCAGAGCUCACACAGUAAUGCUCUGGCAGGGGGCGGAGCUCACACAGUAAUGCCGACGGGGGUGGAGCUCACACAGUAAUGCUGACAGGGGGUGGAGCUCACACAGUAAUACUCUGGCAGGGGGCGGAGCUCACACAGCAAUGCUCUGACGGGGCAGAGCUCACACAGUAAUACUCUGGCAGGGGGCGGAGCUCACACAGUAAUGCUCUGACAGGGGGCGGAGCUCACACAGUAAUCUCUGGCAGGGGGCGGAGCUCACACAGUAAUGCUCUGCCAGGGGGCGGAGCUCACACAGUAAUGCUCUGCCAGGGGGCGGAGCUCACACAGUAAUCUCUGGCAGGGGGCGGAGCUCACACAGUAAUGCUCUGACAGGGGGCGGAGCUCACACAGUAAUGCUCUGGCAGGGGGCGGAGCUCACACAGUAAUGCUCUGGCAGGGGGUGGAGCUCACACAGUAAUGCUCUGGCAGGGGGCGGAGCUCACACAGUAAUGCUCACUGGCUGGCUGCUCACCUCCUACUGUGUGGCCUGGUUCCUAACAGGCCAUGGACUGGAACAAUCUGUGGCCUGGGGAUUGGGGACCCCUGAUUUAAAGAAUCGAGGACACACUCACCUAGCAAACCAUCUGCUAAGAAAAAAGGAGGAAAAGCACCAACAUUAAUUUGAACUUAGAAAUAAACUACAAGGCCAGACAUGGUGGUUCACACCUAUAAUUCCAGCACUUCGGGAGGCCAAGGAGGAACGAUCACUUAAGCCCAGCAGUUUGAGACCAGCCUAGGCAACAAAGUGAGACCCUGUCCCUACAAUUACAAAAUAAAUGAGCUGGGCGUGGUGGUGCACACCUGUAGCCCCAGCUACUUAGAAGGCUGAGUCGGGAAGAUCACCUGAGCUGCCCAGGAGUUUGAGGCUGCAGUGAGCUGAGACUGCACCAACCCUGUCUCAAAAAAAAAAAAAAAAAAAAGAAACUGCAACAAAAUAUCUGGAUUUUGAUGUAACAGAAUACAAAGAUAAUUACAUUUGAUUUUUAGGUCAACAAAUAUGACAAGUCAUAACAGGAAAAUAUUUUAAAUGGAUUUGGAAAUAAAAGAAAGUUUGUUCAUUUAUAUUUUAUUUAACAGCUGUGCCCAGUUUUAUCUUGUCACAAGAAUGAAGCAAGGGACAAAGGUAAGUGCCACGCUCCCCGGCCACUGGGUGCCAAU
RNAcentral lists this long non-coding RNA (2467 nucleotides) under Homo sapiens (human). RNAcentral's name for it is "HSALNT0067036". The record is from RNAcentral. Lineage: Eukaryota; Metazoa; Chordata; Mammalia; Primates; Hominidae.